UCCCUGGCAGUCCAGUGGUUAGGACUUUGCGCUUGCACUGCCAUGGCCCCAGGUUCAAUCCCUGGUCAGGGAA
Molecule: non-coding RNA, 73 nt
Organism: Hippopotamus amphibius kiboko
Lineage: Eukaryota; Metazoa; Chordata; Mammalia; Artiodactyla; Hippopotamidae
Source: the annotation of a RefSeq genome assembly